RNAcentral lists this ribosomal RNA (500 nucleotides) under uncultured bacterium. RNAcentral's name for it is "partial 16S ribosomal RNA". It matches the Rfam family "Bacterial small subunit ribosomal RNA", at positions 30 to 523 of the family's 1533-position model. The record is from RNAcentral.
AUUGAACGCUGGCGGCAUGCUUUACACAUGCAAGUCGAACGGUAACAGGGUGCUUGCACCGCUGACGAGUGGCGAACGGGUGAGUAAUGCGUCGGAACGUGCCGAGUAGUGGGGGAUAACGCAGCGAAAGUUGUGCUAAUACCGCAUACGUACUGAGGUAGAAAGUGGGGGACCUUCGGGCCUCACGCUAUUCGAGCGGCCGACGUCUGAUUAGCUAGUAGGUGAGGUAAAGGCUCACCUAGGCGACGAUCAGUAGCGGGUCUGAGAGGAUGGUCCGCCACACGGGGACUGGGACACGGCCCAGACUCCUUCGGGAGGCAGCAGUGGGGAAUUUUGGACAAUGGGCGAAAGCCUGAUCCAGCCAUGCCGCGUGUCUGAAGAAGGCCUUCGGGUUGUAAAGGACUUUUGUCAGGGAGGAAAUCCCUAGUGCUAAUAACACUGGGGGAUGACAGUACCUGAAGAAUAAGCACCGGCUAACUACGUGCCAGCCGCCGCGGUAA